RNAcentral lists this ribosomal RNA (323 nucleotides) under uncultured eukaryote. RNAcentral describes it as "partial 18S ribosomal RNA". It matches the Rfam family "Eukaryotic small subunit ribosomal RNA", at positions 1470 to 1796 of the family's 1831-position model. The record is from RNAcentral.
CCCCUAGAUGUUCUGGGCCGCACGCGCGCUACACUGAACAGUUCAACAAGUCUUAACCUUGGCCGAUAGGUCUGGGUAAUCUUUGAACGCUGUUCGUGAUUGGGAUAGACCUUUGCAAUUAUGGGUCUUCAACGAGGAAUUCCUAGUAAACGCAAGUCAUCAGCUUGCAUUGAUUACGUCCCUGCCCUUUGUACACACCGCCCGUCGCACCUACCGAUUGAAUGGUCCGGUGAAAUCUCGGACUGCGAUGACGCUCUGGCAACAGAGUUAAUUGCGGAAAGUUGAUCAAACCUUACCAUUUAGAGGAAGGUGAAGUCGUANCA